CGCAGCCCUCACACUUCACUCACACACUUCGCCGGCUAUAAAUAAAGUACCCCCGCUCAUCCUCAUCCAUAGCAAAUCCUCGACACCGAGCAAGAAGCCAGGAACCAGCUCAAAGUUAUUCGUCCAAGAACCCCACCCCACUCCCCGAAUAGAAAUUUCGUCUUGGAGAGCCACCAAUGGCUUGUUCCACUGCAUCUUUAGCGGCGACGCUGCUGGCGUUCGCGCUGAUGUUCCAGGCCUGCGUCGCGGGGAGGCGGAGGCUCACCGCGCUCGUGCAGGAGCCGGCCAUCACCAUGAAGUACCACAAGGCCGCGCUCCUGUCGGGCCCCAUCGCCGUCAACUUCAUCUGGUACGGCGACUUCACGGCGCCACAGCGGGCGGUGAUCACCGACUUCGUCUCGUCGCUGUCCGCGGCCCCGCGGGCGGCGGCGCAGUCGCAGCCGGAGCCGUCCGUGUCCACGUGGUUCAAGACGGCGCGCAAGUACUACGACACCUCCAAGGCGCGUUUCCCGGCGCUGCGCCUCGGCUCCCACGCCGUCGACCGGAACUGCUCCCUCGGCAGGCGGCUCACGGAGCGGGACCUCCUCAGGCUCGCCGCCAGGGGGGCACCGAGCCGCGCCAUCAACCUGGUGCUCACGGCCGCCGACGUGGCCGUGGACGGGUUCUGCGCGUCCCGUUGCGGCACGCACGGCGCGUCCCCGCGGUCCCGCGCCGGCCGGUUCGCGUACGUGUGGGUGGGCAACCCGGCGUCGCAGUGCCCCGGACAGUGCGCGUGGCCGUUCCACCAGCCCGUCUACGGCCCGCAGGCGCCGCCGCUCACGCCCCCCAACGCCGACGUCGGGGUCGACGGCAUGGUGAUCUCGCUGGCGUCCAUGAUCGUCGGCACCGUCACCAACCCGUUCGGCAACGGGUUCUACCAGGAGGGCUCGGCCGACGCGCCGCUCGAGGCCGCCACGGCGUGCGCCGGCGUGUACGGCAAGGGCGCGUACCCCGGCUACGCGGGGGCGCUGCUGGUGGACCCGGCCAGCGGCGCCAGCUUCAAUGCCAACGGGGCCCACGGGAGAAAGUACCUGGUCCCGGCGCUCGUGGAUCCGGACACGUCGUCGUGUGCCACCUUGGGGUAGAUUUCGCGGAUCGUAAAUUAGUGUUUGCGAUGUGGCGGUGGUAGUGCUGUGGAGAGUGUUCCACGCGGCUAAAAGUUUGUGCUAAAGUAGUACUGACCAGGUUGCAUUAUUUCAUUUGUUCAAUGAAAAUGAAGUAUUUUCACGCACAUACUACUCUUAUGCAUGUCGAUUCUGCCUGCAAUUUACUCGGUUUCCCAAAAGUUUUUGCCAGCUUGGUAUGAAUCAUGACU
This 1354-nucleotide unclassified non-coding RNA is filed under the name Zea mays. RNAcentral's name for it is "misc RNA Zm00001eb194010". The record is from RNAcentral. Lineage: Eukaryota; Viridiplantae; Streptophyta; Magnoliopsida; Poales; Poaceae.